UUAGAGUUUGAUCCUGGCUCAAGAUGAACGCUGGCGGCGUGCUUAACACAUGCAAGUCGAACGGAGCUAUGAGAGAAGCUUGCUUCACUUUUAGCUUAGUGGCGGACGGGUGAGUAACGCGUGAGUAACCUACCCUUCAGAUUGGAAUAACAUCGAGAAAUCGGUGCUAAUACCGAAUAAUGUCGGAUUGCCGCAUGACAGACCGACCAAAGAUUUAUCGCUGAAGGAUGGACUCGCGUCCGAUUAGUUUGUUGGUGGGGUAACGGCUCACCAAGACUGCGAUCGGUAGCCGAACUGAGAGGUUGAUCGGCCACAUUGGGACUGAGACACGGCCCAGACUCCUACGGGAGGCAGCAGUGGGGAAUAUUGGGCAAUGGGCGCAAGCCUGACCCAGCAACGCCGCGUGAAGGAUGAAGGUCUUCGGAUUGUAAACUUCUUUGAUCAGGGACGAAACAAAUGACGGUACCUGAAGAACAAGCCACGGCUAACUACGUGCCAGCAGCCGCGGUAAUACGUAGGUGGCGAGCGUUAUCCGGAUUUACUGGGUGUAAAGGGCGUGUAGGCGGUUCUGCAAGUCAGAAGUGAAAUUCCCGGGCUUAACUCGGGCGCUGCUUCUGAAACUGCAGAACUUGAGUACUGGAGAGGAUAGUGGAAUUCCUAGUGUAGCGGGAAAAUGCGUAAAUUUUUAGGACGAACCCCAGUGGCGAAGGCGGCUUUUCUGGACAGUAACGGACGUUGAGGCGCGAAAGCGUGGGGAGCAAACAGGGUUUAGAUACCUGGGUAUUCCACGCCGUAAACGAUGAAUACUAGGUGUAGGGGGUAUCGACUCCCUUCUGUGCCGCAGUUAACACAAUAAGUAUUCCACCUGGGGAGUACGGCCGCAAGGUUGAAACUCAAAGGAAUUGACGGGGGCCCGCACAAGCAGUGGAUUAUGUGGUUUAAUUCGAAGCAACGCGAAGAACCUUACCAGGACUUGACAUCCUCUGACCGCUCUAGAGAUAGAGCUUUCCUUCGGGACAGAGUGACAGGUGGUGCAUGGUUGUCGUCAGCUCGUGUCGUGAGAUGUUGGGUUAAGUCCCGCAACGAGCGCAACCCUUGUCUUUAGUAGCCAGCAGUUCGGCUGGGCACUCUAGAGAGACUGCCAGGGAUAACCUGGAGGAAGGUGGGGAUGACGUCAAAUCAUCAUGCCCCUUAUGAUUUGGGCUACACACGUGCUACAAUGGCGUAAACAAAGAGAAGCGAGUCUGUGAGGAGGAGCAAAUCUCAAAAAUAACGUCUCAGUUCGGAUUGUAGUCUGCAACUCGACUACAUGAAGCUGGAAUCGCUAGUAAUCGCGAAUCAGAAUGUCGCGGUGAAUACGUUCCCGGGUCUUGUACACACCGCCCGUCA
Molecule: ribosomal RNA, 1389 nt
Filed under: uncultured bacterium
Lineage: Bacteria
Description: 16S ribosomal RNA
Rfam family: Bacterial small subunit ribosomal RNA
Source: RNAcentral